Molecule: ribosomal RNA, 859 nt
Filed under: uncultured bacterium
Lineage: Bacteria
Description: bacterial SSU rRNA
Rfam family: Bacterial small subunit ribosomal RNA
Source: RNAcentral
GGCUCAGGAUGAACGCUGGCGGCGUGCCUAAUACAUGCAAGUCGAACGGACAGGAGCAAUCCUGUUAGUGGCGAACGGGUGAGUAACGCGUUGGUGACCUGCCCCGGAGAGAGGGAUAACAGGCCGAAAGGCUUGCUAAUACCGCAUGAGCAAGAGAGGGACUAGAAGCUUUCUUGUAAAGCAUAACGUUCGCAAGAACGCAUGCGCUCUGGGAGGGGCCUGCGACCCAUCAGCUAGUUGGUAAGGUAACGGCUUACCAAGGCGAUGACGGGUAGGGGACCUGAGAGGGUGGCCCCCCACAAUGGAACUGAAACACGGUCCAUACACCUACGGGUGGCAGCAGUAGGGAAUAUUGCAUAAUGGGCGAAAGCCUGAUGCAGCAACGCCGCGUGUGCGAUGAAGGCCUUCGGGUUGUAAAGCACUUUUAGCAGGGAAGAGGAAGGACGGUACCUGCUGAAUAAGCCUCGGCUAACUACGUGCCAGCAGCCGCGGUAAAACGUAGGAGGCGAGCGUUAUCCGGAUUUACUGGGUGUAAAGCGCGUGCAGGCGGUCUACUAAGUUGGAUGUGAAAGCUCCUGGCUCAACUGGGAGAGGUCGUUCAAGACUGGUAGACUGGAGAGCAGUAGGGGAAGGUGGAAUUCCGGGUGUAGUGGUGAAAUGCGUAGAUAUCCGGAGGAACACCAGUGGCGAAAGCGGCCUUCUGGACUGCAUCUGACGCUCAGACGCGAAAGCUAGGGGAGCAAACGGGAUUAGAGACCCCGGUAGUCCUAGCUGUAAACGAUGUGAACUUGGCGCUGGUUGGGUAAAACCGAUCAGUGCCGAAGCAAACGCGAUAAGUUCACCACCUGAGGACUACGGC